UAUUAAUUUGACGGCCUGCGUAGCGCAGUGGUAUGCGCGGUGGAUUUACAAGACAGGUCCUGGGUUCGAUCCCUGGCUGGGCCGAUUGAGGUUUUCUUAAUUGGUCUGGCUGGUGGGAGGCUUCCCUACCCUACCGACAAAGACGUACCACCAAGCGAUUUAGCGUUCCGGAACGAUGUCGUGUAGAAACCAAAAGGAGUGUAGAUUUUCAUCCUCUUCCUAACAAGUUAGCCCGCUUCCAUCUUAGACUGCAUCAUCACUUACCAUCAGGUGAGUUUGUAGUCAAGAGCUAACUUAGGUUCAAUAGUUUCGGAAAUUAUAAAACAUAACUAUUUAUUAACUAUGCAAGCCACCUACUAUCUAGUAAGCCCACAUGGCUGCAGCUCUAACGCGACCAACACACGAUCAGUUUUAUCGGAUGUCCUGCCGUUAGCGCUGCAGGCUAUAGGCUUAUCGGAUGGAGUGUCUAUCAUUAACAUUUAAGUGUAAGCUCAGUUUCAAGAAUGUUGUGCAUGAUUUAGAUACCUGCAAGGACUCUGACUGCAAAGAUGAUUGCAGCACCGACAACUGUGGAGAUACCUGUGACACCAGCGGAAGUGGUACUGGUGGAUGCUGUUGAUGGACUCUGAAUACAUGGCUUGUUGACAUGACGAUUUGCAUAAUGUAUUAUUUAUUUUGAUUUUUUGAAUUGUGAUAAUAAAUCUUUGGUGCUCUUA
Long non-coding RNA from Bicyclus anynana (squinting bush brown), 716 nucleotides. RefSeq lists it as uncharacterized. The transcript has 2 exons. Lineage: Eukaryota; Metazoa; Arthropoda; Insecta; Lepidoptera; Nymphalidae. The record is from RefSeq and is a predicted model, not a curated record.